UAACAGUUGGAAACGACUGCUAAUACCGCAUAAGCGCACAGGGUCGCAUGACCUGGUGUGAAAAACUCCGGUGGUAUGAGAUGGACCCGCGUCUGAUUAGCCAGUUGGUGGGGUAACGGCCUACCAAAGCGACGAUCAGUAGCCGACCUGAGAGGGUGAUCGGCCGCAUUGGGACUGAGACACGGCCCAGACUCCUACGGGAGGCAGCAGUGAGGGAUAUUGGGCAAUGGGGGAAACCCUGACCCAGCAACGCCGCGUGAGGGAUGACGGUUUUCGGAUUGUAAACCUCUGUCCUCUGUGAAGAUAGUGACGGUAGCAGAGGAGGAAGCUCCGGCUAACUACGUGCCAGCAGCCGCGGUAAUACGUAGGGAGCAAGCGUUGUCCGGAUUUACUGGGUGUAAAGGGUGCGUAGGCGGAUUGGCAAGUCAGAAGUGAAAUCCAUGGGCUUAACCCAUGAACUGCUUUUGAAACUGUUAGUCUUGAGUAGUGCAGAGGUAGGCGGAAUUCCCGGUGUAGCGGUGGAAUGCGUAGAUAUCGGGAGGAACACCAGUGGCGAAGGCGGCCUACUGGGCACCAACUGAC
RNAcentral lists this ribosomal RNA (582 nucleotides) under uncultured bacterium. RNAcentral describes it as "bacterial SSU rRNA". It matches the Rfam family "Bacterial small subunit ribosomal RNA", at positions 144 to 744 of the family's 1533-position model. The record is from RNAcentral.